This is a long non-coding RNA of Physcomitrium patens, 1637 nucleotides long. RefSeq lists it as uncharacterized. NCBI's taxonomy places the organism in Eukaryota, Viridiplantae, Streptophyta, Bryopsida, Funariales, Funariaceae. The record is from RefSeq and is a predicted model, not a curated record.
UUUUGUUGUUGUUGUUUUUUUUUUUUUUUUGUUUAAUUUGUGUAUGUAGAAGAGCUCCGCACUAGGCAGAUCAGUGGAUUCUCUACGCUGAAUUGAGGCUGUGCAGGAAACAAACACAGUCGCUUAUUCGUUGUUGUUUUAUUUAUUUUUUGUUCUUUUCUCUUCCCGGUGUGUUGCGGAGGUUCUGUUUUUUAUAGGGUGGUGUGAGUGCAGCAAUGAAGGAGGUCCCUGCUGGUUGUGACGGUGUCGCAAAUUCUUCUGUUUGGUGUCGUCCAUCGAGCGACAAAAUUAUCGAUCGAGGUUCAAUCUCGGCAUUUGGAGUCAGGAAGUGCAGCGCUAGUGCUUUAGCAUAGAGAAGUGUGGAUCCGGUAAUAGCGUUGUUGUCGAGGAGCUCGGAUUCGAAUGUCAGCAUCUUCCAAGCUCUCUAGUUGAGGGCAACUGGAGCCAUGGUUCUACUCAGAUUAAGUUUUCUUCGACAAUAGUUUUCCUCCCUUGAGCUACAAAAAUAUAGCGGCGGCCCGGUUCGGUUCAUACUCUCUCCUUAGGUUGCGGCAGAACGUGUUGUACGUUGUGAAGUAGAUUGGAGUUUUUGCGUUGUUGCUGGGAGGCGAUGUAGGGCUGCAGUGCGAGUUUUUGGUUCUUGGUUCACAUUUAUAAUUCCGUCUAGGUACAAUAAAGCCGCCAAUUCUUAUAUAUCAGCGGUUCCUUCUUGAUCAAGGCUGCAGUAGGCAUUGAUGGCUCUUGAUAAUUACGAUUUUAGUUGUAGCAAUGCGAGCUGACGGUCGGUGGCAAUGGGGAAGAAGGUAUCAUGUGUGGGUGUGCGCAUUGGAUAAUUCACACCUAAUUCAAUGGACUUUAAUUAUUUCUCUCUUGUUGCGCGUGAUUGGUACCCUGACGUGGUCGAGUGCAGAGUUCUGACCUAGUACCGUCGGAAGGAUAUCGAGUUGGUUGCACAAAGUGUGUACAUGCAAAUCUGAUCAGUGGGGCUACAAUGUUUGCGUUGAGUUGGCUGUCAACGACGUUGGGCCCUCGAGUUGCUUAGUCUUGGAAGGAUAAUCAAGGACCACCUCAGUGAAGUGAUCAAUUAUUAGCCGAACGUCUCAUCAUAAAAGCUGCGGCACCAUUAACAUCAUUUUGUGCACAUGUCGAUCAGCGUUGCAUUCAAAGGCUAAUACGAGUGGGGCAGAAAUUGUCUGUUCUUUGAGGUGAUUGAAUGGAAGGCAUUGUGUAGGUAUAGUGGUGGCUUGCAAACCAGGUUGUACCACUAGUAGAGUAGUUUUGAUUCUUAAUAGGAGGGUGCUUAGUCAAGGUAAACGUUGGAGAGAAAAGGCGCUCUUCAUCCUCACGAUCCUGCUUCUUGAUGAGCCCUGCAGCCAGAUCGAUACAUCAAAGUUGUUGCACCCAAGAGUUGAAGAUUUUUGUGCGGUGAACUGUUGGCUUGGGGGUGGCAUCGUGUGGCCAUAUUGCCUUCAUGUGCUGGUGCUAUUCCACUGAGUGAAUUGGAAUUUGCUGCGCAUCCAUCUUCAACUUUCACUGCUGGAUCGGGUGUUCGACACAGAUGCAAUUAAAGACUCAUGUGAUCAUUUAGAUUCCAAAAUCCACAACUAUUGAGUUAAUCAAAAUUCUAAUUCUUGCUA